This 87-nucleotide transfer RNA is filed under the name Microbacterium flavescens. RNAcentral describes it as "tRNA-Pro". The record is from RNAcentral. Lineage: Bacteria; Bacillati; Actinomycetota; Actinomycetes; Micrococcales; Microbacteriaceae. RNAcentral also lists the same sequence under 1 other name.
GUCGCGAUCGGGCGCGGGGCCCGCGCGGGUUCGGAGUCCGCGAAACCGGGCUCGGGAUCGGGCUCGGGCUCGGGCUCGACCGUGGUC